Molecule: ribosomal RNA, 250 nt
Filed under: uncultured prokaryote
Description: partial 16S ribosomal RNA
Rfam family: Bacterial small subunit ribosomal RNA
Source: RNAcentral
UACGUAGGGGGCAAGCGUUAUCCGGAAUUAUUGGGCGUAAAGAGUGCGUAGGUGGUUACCUAAGCGCAAGGUUUAAUCUAGUGGCUCAACCACUUCUUGCCUUGCGAACUGGGCUACUUGAGUGCAGGAGGGGAAAGCGGAAUUCCUAGUGUAGCGGUGAAAUGCGUAGAUAUUAGGAGGAACACCAGCGGCGAAGGCGGCUUUCUGGACUGUAACUGACACUGAGGCACGAGAGCGUGGGUAGCAAACA